GUAAAAGUGCUAUCCAGCGGUUUGAUCAGCAAGGAGUUAUUUUUGAAAGCAACGUCACCGGUAGCUCGGGUUUCUUUGCCAUCCAGCGGGAUAUCAAGAUGUAAGCGCCCACUGACAUCGCCGCCCACUUCCAAUUCAUCCAAGGCCGCGCCCACAGAAUCGGCUAAUGGCGAUGUUUUGAAGUAUUCAUGAACGGCCUUGCCAGAACCUGCCACCUUUGCGUCAACCAGCAGCUUUUCUUUCUGAUAAACAGGGAUUACGGCCGUGAUAUCUGUGCCGUCAACGUCGCCGAGUUUCGUGUGCGGCGCAUUCAUCCACAGGCCAUCGUUGAGGAAAUUCAAAUCGAUAGCGAGAUUAUUCAGCGGCUCCCAGUUUGGCUGGAAACGGAAAGUGGCAUC
Molecule: non-coding RNA, 398 nt
Filed under: Hafnia alvei
Lineage: Bacteria; Pseudomonadati; Pseudomonadota; Gammaproteobacteria; Enterobacterales; Hafniaceae
Source: RNAcentral